Cyclopterus lumpus (lumpfish) is the source of this 283-nucleotide long non-coding RNA. RefSeq lists it as uncharacterized. The transcript is spliced from 3 exons. The record is from RefSeq and is a predicted model, not a curated record. NCBI's taxonomy places the organism in Eukaryota, Metazoa, Chordata, Actinopteri, Perciformes, Cyclopteridae.
CAGUUCUACAUGCAACACUUACAAAAACAAACAACGCCUGUCACCAUUUCACUGUGUGCUAACGCUGGCUGAGAGUUAUGGGAGCUGAAUUGUUUUUGCUUUCUGAAAUUCUUCAAACUACGGACGGCAAGCAGCUACUGCAAAAGUCUCAUUUGAAAGAAAUUAGCGAUGGAGCAGAGAGCAGUGAAUGAAGGGAGACUAUGAGCUCACCAGAGCAGGAUACCACGUGGUCUUCUUUUUUUCCCCGGUGGCGACCCCCUCCACACAGACCACUUUGCCGAAC